AGCCACGGUAAUACCAGCUCCCCGAGUGGUCGAGACGAUUAUUGAGCCUAAAGCAUCCGUAGCCGGCUGGGUUAGUCCCCUGUUAAAUCCAGCGAUUCAAUCGCUGGACUGCGGGGGGUACUGUCCAGCUAGGGGGCGGGAGAGGCCGGCGGUAUUCCCGGGUAGGGGUGAAAUCUUAUAAUCCCGGGAGGACCACCAGUGGCGAAGGC
This 209-nucleotide ribosomal RNA is filed under the name uncultured archaeon. Its description in RNAcentral is "partial 16S ribosomal RNA". It matches the Rfam family "Archaeal small subunit ribosomal RNA", at positions 463 to 673 of the family's 1478-position model. The record is from RNAcentral.